RNAcentral lists this non-coding RNA (26 nucleotides) under Rattus norvegicus (Norway rat). Lineage: Eukaryota; Metazoa; Chordata; Mammalia; Rodentia; Muridae. The record is from RNAcentral.
AGUUUAGGAUGGCCUCGGAUUAUACU